Molecule: long non-coding RNA, 1376 nt
Organism: Ostrea edulis (European flat oyster)
Lineage: Eukaryota; Metazoa; Mollusca; Bivalvia; Ostreida; Ostreidae
Exons: 3
Source: RefSeq, a predicted model, not a curated record
GUCACAUAAAACUUAUGGCUAAUGAAUAUUUUCGAAAGUAUGUUUAUUUUGGAUUUUAGAGUAAUUGACGGCAAUUAAAAGGGUGACCGAUCCAGGUAUCAGCAUCCUAAGAACCAGUGCAAGUUGAAAUGGACUUCCAGCCAACAACUUCAACAGCAAUUUGCCAUGAAAAUCAGCAAGAAAGGUACUUCAUUUACAUUGAUGAUGUCAUAUCCCCUGGACCCCACAACUUUACAGGUUACAGAGAAAAUUCAAGAACUUCUGCAAAAUGUGGGACUUGGAUAGAAUCAAUAAUGUAUUUGUGAGCCCAGAGCAAUGGAUAUAUUGUGCAACAUAGUAAAGUGUGAAUUUAAUGGAAAACAAGUGCAUGUACUCAUGUAUUACAUGUUUUCACCGGAAUUUCUUCAGCAACUGACCACGUGUCUUAGUUUCGUAUUUGCACCCAUUUAUAUGCUAGGAAUCAUGGUGACACCUACAUGUUGUAUAUCAACAUUUUUAUUAAGCACUCAGCUACAUUUGACAUGCAUCCUAAAAUUAUUGUGUACAUUUUUACACAUGUAAUAUCACUUCAAAUAUGGGGUAUUUCCAUUUUUUGAAAAAGUUGACCGGACCUAUAGUGCGAAACUGUCCCCUGCUACCUUACCCACAGGAAUUUGCGUUUAUUUCAUUUUAAACAUAAUCUCUUGUUAUGCAAUUGAUCGAUUAGCAGGCGUGCGUAAGCGCCGAGCAAAGUCCUAAAUUUAAAGCCGUUCACCGGUCUUGGUAACGUCUCCAUAUGAGUAAAAAAUUCUCGAGAGAGAUGUUAAACAAGAUACAAUCAAUCAAUCCAUGGGUCAAUUGGGUGGAAAUCUUUAAAUUGAUAUUAAAUAUAAAGUUGUUAUUUAAACAUAUUUGGUGCACUAUGCUGUAUAAUCAUAAUUAUCAAUCUCUUAUAAUAGGUAAUCGGGUCUGGUUAUUAUAAAAAAAUGUAUGAAAAUAACUGAAUAUUAAUGCAAUCAUUGUGAGUGCAAAAAGGUCAAUUGCAAGAGCACAUACAUAAAAUUUAUGCAUUGGCGGAUAUAAAGGGGGGGGGGGGGGGGCAACCGGCGCGAGCUCCCCUAAAAUUUUCAAGUUUAAAAUAAAUCGUGGUCUCUUGUUUAGAGAAAUAUAUACGAUAAAAGAAGCCAUAAUUUCCUCCACUCUCAGAGAAAUGUCUGACAAAAUCUUUUGAUUUAUUGAAUUACUUUUAGAGGAAGAACUGCUAUUUUUUCCAAAAACCCUUAAUAUUUGCGUUAUUUUAUUAAUUUCACCUUAUUAAAAAUGACAGAAAAUAAUAAAAAUGACUACAUAGAAGACAUAUUUUAAGCCCUAUAAAAUCUGUAAAAUCCAGGAGUUUC